UAUAUAAACUUUUUACAAAAAAAUAUCAGCGUUUUAGCGCGGAUCACUAUGUGGUAAAAAUAAUAAUACAGUUCUGAAUCUGGAGAAGUUCAGAGAGUAUCUCCACAAGGUCAUCAGGAAUGUGGAAGUUCCCGAUCCGGUACGUUCUGUAAGUCCAGCUGUCAUCUUCGUUGCUACUGUGGACCUUUUUGAAGGUUUCGAGAUGAUGUGGGGUAGCCAAAGACGUAUCAAUGUGCCUCCGCCGGAAGAUGACGCUAAUCUCUUGACCUUCCUCACAUCUCGAGCUACAAUCGUUCCUGAACACAUUCACAGCGACGAGCUAGUAUCGAUCCUGCGUUAUAUAGAUGGUCCCUAUCUCGAGUCCUUCACAGCAGCCCUCAAGGAGAAAGCUACUACCAAAGAAGCUGAUAAAUCUAUCGGUAGACAACUCUGUGACUACGCCAUCAAGUUCUUUAGCUCAGCCCUUAUGGAUGGCAAUGCCAGCUGCUACUACUUCCCAAACAGUGCCCUUUCCAGUGAUCAGGUGGAAACAGAAAGUGGUAGUAGCGCAAUGUACCCCUCAGACUCAGAUGCUACCUCUCAUGGCUUGGGUUUGGCAGUGGAGGAUGAAGAUGAGUUUGAAGAGGAGGAGGAUGAGAAGGAGCCUGUUCUCAAGGACGAACCGAACUUGGCUGAAGUCAAAGAGGAGCCGCACUUGGUUGAAGUCAAGGAGGAGCUGAAAUUGGUUGAGGUCAAGGAAGAGCUUGUUGAGGUCAAGGAAGAGCCUGUUGAGGUCAAGGAGGAGCCAAAAGACUUGGUUAAAGAGCCCAAUCGUAAGCGUCAUGCUUCAGCAAGCCCAACUUCUUCAUUAGGUUCGACUUAGAAGAAAUACUGUGAUGGCAGAGGAGUACAAGGAUCAAGACGUGGAAGUUUCUCGGGCAAUGACGUUGAAUGUUAUACUUGUUGAUAAAGAUGAUGACAAACGGAAUAAACAUCCUUGAAGCUGUGCAUGAAAACUGUAUUGUCUUCCAUCUUUUGUUUUGUUUUUAUGAUGUGGGGUGUGUGGAGGUUCUCUAGCGUGCUCGCUCGACGUCCCAUGUGAUUGUUAUGUUUGAUUGAAAAUAGGACCUGGAGAACUACGACAAACAAGAGAAUGAUAUGCUGGAUUUUGCUUUUGCAUUAACAGAACUGCAUGUCCUCCUUUCGCAUUAAAUUGUCUCAAUCGGGUUUGGUCGAAAAUGUCGCUAUUGGGAUGUCAAGUCAUUACACAACAAGAGCUAGAUGGUGUCCACUUGCCAUUGCUUCAGCCACUGAAUUUUGCUGUUGAUUGGUUCAUUUCUAAACCUCACUGGACCACUUCAAAGUCUCUCAGAGCAUAUGAUUAUUUAGGUUGUUAAGCUAAACGAGUUUUGGAAUUACACUUUGUUUAUUAUGAGAAAAUCUUAUUACAUUAAAACUAUAGGAGAUAGUAAUUCAGAAGGUGAGAUAUUUCACAGAUUCAUUUCAUCUCUUUAUUUGCAGCAUUCCACUUUUCUUCUUUAGUUUGAUUUAUAAUUCAGAACAAAGCUAAAAGAUAUGGAUAAAACUUAAAAUGGUUAAUUUGAAGCAUAACUAUAUGAGAAGUUAGAGCCAAUAACCAAAACAAACAUGUUAAUUAAGAAAAUGACCCAUGACAAAAAAAAAUAGCGGUGUAUUUAACUAUUUAUACAAUAUUUGCUAUUUACCCUUUAUCAUUUUCCCUUUUUAUUUUAUUUACUUCUAUCACUCCACAAUUAUUCAGAUUUUUAUUUGCUUAUGAAAAACGUAGAUUUUAUUUCUGUCAUGUUUUGAAUUUUUUUUUAAUAAUACAAUAGUGUAAUAAUACAAUUCUAUUUAAGGUGUCAAAUGCAAUAAUGGGCCAUAAGAAAAUAAGUGAAGAAGUCCAUUAUUAUAUAUAUAUAUUUUUUUGGUGUAAAUGUUAAAGAAGCCCAUUAUUGGGAUAAAAAAAAAAAAAAAAAGAAGGGGUAAUAAAUCGUGAGAGAAGAAGAGAAUUGGGGAGAUUGAUUUUAGGGUUUGUGGUGUUGGUUUCUGAGAGAUCCAAAGUGGUGUAGCGAUGCACGUGCCGGUGACUGUGACGGAUUACUCAUUAUCUUCAUUCUACAAGGGUGUAUACGCUGUGGUUGAUGAUUCUUCACUGGAUGCAGUAGUCUCGUGGAGCAAAAACAAGAAAAGUUUCAUCAUUUGGGAUCCGAUAGAGUUUCAGAGAAGGGUUCUGCCGACGGGCAGAGAAAGAAGAAUACGAUCCUUAAAUUUCUCGAUGUUUAUGGCCGACCUUAAGUACUAUGGAUUUAUAAGGGUUAAGGGAUCUAAGCAUCGUUAUCACAUUGGACAUCCGAAAUAUUUUGUGAGAGGUAAACCUGAGCUUAUGAAAAAGAUGCAGGAAGAGGCUCAUGAGAAGAGAAUGCACAAAUUUGAUCAAGACAGGGCUAUGAGAAAGAAAGCCAAAGCUAGAGCGAUGAAGUUAGCGGAUGCCUUGGGUGAUUUAGGUCUUUGAUUUAAUGUUGGUUCGAUUGCGUUUUGAUGAAUCCUUAUAUCCUAAGACCAAUUCUAUUUUGUCUGUUUCAAGAAUGUUUCUCUUGUUGACCAAACACAUGACCCUGUUUCUCCCGGCAGUUUGUAACAGGUCACAUUGUUUACUUAGUGACAUCAAAUUUCUUGCUACAA
This is an RNA transcript of Brassica napus (rape), 2682 nucleotides long. It is a transcript of the gene named heat stress transcription factor A-4a-like, with no coding region annotated. Lineage: Eukaryota; Viridiplantae; Streptophyta; Magnoliopsida; Brassicales; Brassicaceae. The record is from RefSeq and is a predicted model, not a curated record. The transcript is spliced from 7 exons.